CACACCUCACUAAUUUUUUAAAAAGUUUUUGUAGAGACAAGGGUUUGCCAUGUUGCUAAGGCUGGUAUCAAAGUACUAGGGUCAAGCACUCCUCCCUCCUUAGUCUCCCAAAGUGCUGGGAUUACAGGCAUGAGCCACUGCACUCAGCCUUUAUUAUUUCUUAUAAGGCAGAUCUUCUAGUGACAAAUUAUUUUAGUUGUUUUUCUGAGAAAUCUCAACUUCUCUUUUAAUUUUGAAGGGUAGCUUUUGAUGGAUACAGAAUUCUUGGUUGAAAGUAUCUUCUUUCUGCUCUUUGAUUAUGUCUCCAUCUUGUUUUCCAGCCUCUUUGCAUCUGAAAAUAAGUCAUUUCUAAAUUUUGUUUAGAUUUUUUUCAUUCAUAAUGGAUCAUUUUUCUCAUGCUGUUUUGAAGAUUCUCUAUUAGUUUUGGCUUUCAACAAUUUGAUUAUAAUGUUUCUAUGCAUAGAUGUAUGCAUUUAUUUAUAAUCUUUUUAGCUUUUUGGAUGUGUAAUUUUUUAACUAUAUUUGUUACUUUUGGGGUCGCUGUGUCUUUAAAUAUUCUUUCUUUCCCUUUCUCUUCUUUAUUUCUUGGAAUUCCAUUUUGUGUAUAAUGCUGUGCUUAUUAAUGUUCCAUAGGUUUCUGUGGAUAGUUCCAUUUUUCUUCAUUCAUUUUUCCUUCUGCUCCUUACACUGGAUAAUCUCAGUUGAUUUAUAUGCUAGCUUGCUAAUUUCUUUUAUAUGCCUGCUCAAACCUCCUGUUGAUUUUUUUUAUUUUAGCUAAUGCAAUUUUAAACUAUAGAAUUUGUAUUUGGUUUUUAAAUAUAACUUCUAUUUCUUUAUUGAUUGUCUUUAUUUGGUGAAAUAGUCUCAUAUUUUAAUUAUAGAUGUGAUUGUGUUUAGGUCUUUGUGAAUUGUACUAGCUUCCUAGGAUUGCUUAAUAAACUACCACACUCUAAAUAGCUCAAAACAAUAGAAACUUAUUAUCUCACAGUUCUGGGAGCUAAAAUUCCAAAAUCAAGGUGUCAUCAGGGUGAUGCUCCCCUUGAAGGCUCUAGAGGAAUUUAUAUUCCAUGCCUGUCUUCCAACUUCUUGUGGUUGUUGACAAUCCUUUUCAUUCCUUGGCUUGUAAUUGUAUGCCUCUGCCUUUACUCUUGUGUUCAUUUGGUGCUCUCUCUAUAUGUAUCUGUGCCUAAAUUUCCCUCUGCUUAUAAGAAAACCAGUCAUAUUGGAUUAGGAACCACUUUAGUCCAGUAUGAUCUAAUUUUAACUAAUUAUAUAGUUAAAGGCCCUAUUUUAACAUAAGCUCACAUUCUGAGUUUAUGAGUGGGCAUGGAUUUGGGGGUCUUCAACCCAGUUUAAGCAUGUAUAUAAUAGUUGACUUAAAGUGUUUUUUGAAAAUGGAAAUUUUUAAUAAUAUAAUGUGUAAACACUGGACAUCAGAUACUCUCCCUUUCUGGUGUUUGUUGCUGCCACUGCUUGUUUCUCUUGCUGUUUCUUAUUAAUUAAUUUUCCGAACCAGUUCUAUAAAGUCUCUGUUCUUUGUCACACGUAUCACUGAAGUCUCUGCUUGCUUAGCUUUGUGGUCACCUAAUGAUUCAAAAGACAUUUCCGUAAAUGCCUGGAAGCAAUCAGUCUUCUAGCCUUCGCUGAUGGGUUCUGCAUAUGAGUUCAGGCAUGCCUUCAGGACUCCACCAGGCACUUGGUAAUUCUGCCUUAUCCUUCACUUUUUGCUUGAGCAGCGCCGAAAGGAGGGAAAUUUGGACAUGGACACAUAGGGAAGACAGCCAUGUGGAGACAGAGGCAGAGGUGGACCUGCUGCCGCAAAACCACAGGGCGCCAAGUACUGUGGGCCACUGAGAAAACUAAAGGAGAGGAAGGAUUCUUCCCUGGAGCUUUGGAGAGGGUAAUGAACUGUAACCUCACUGGACGUGUAAACAGACUGUGACCUACCUACUCUUGUGCCAAUCAUGGAGUUUCAGCCAAUCACAGGCGGCCGGCUGUUCAAACCAUGUUUAAAUAAGGCAAACGCAGAGCUGUAAGCAAUCUAGGUGUUUCUGCACCUCUCGUCCAUUUUCUGUAAGUCCUUUUUCUGUUCAUAAAUCUUCUUCCAUCACGUGGCUGUGCUGGAGUCUUUGAACCUACCCUGCCUCGGGAG
This 2152-nucleotide long non-coding RNA is filed under the name Homo sapiens (human). RNAcentral's name for it is "HSALNT0355964". Lineage: Eukaryota; Metazoa; Chordata; Mammalia; Primates; Hominidae. The record is from RNAcentral.